GCGAGAGUGGCGGAAUUGGUAGACGCACUGGACUUAGAAUCCAGCGGUUUAUCCAUACGGGUUCAAGUCCCGUCUCUCGCACCA
Molecule: transfer RNA, 84 nt
Filed under: Desulfovibrio sp.
Lineage: Bacteria; Pseudomonadati; Thermodesulfobacteriota; Desulfovibrionia; Desulfovibrionales; Desulfovibrionaceae
Also listed under: 6 other names
Description: tRNA-Leu
Rfam family: tRNA
About the family: Transfer RNA (tRNA) molecules are approximately 80 nucleotides in length. Their secondary structure includes four short double-helical elements and three loops (D, anti-codon, and T loops). Further hydrogen bonds mediate the characteristic L-shaped molecular structure. tRNAs have two regions of fundamental functional importance: the anti-codon, which is responsible for specific mRNA codon recognition, and the 3' end, to which the tRNAs corresponding amino acid is attached (by aminoacyl-tRNA synthetases). tRNAs cope with the degeneracy of the genetic code in two manners: having more than one tRNA (with a specific anti-codon) for a particular amino acid; and 'wobble' base-pairing, i.e. permitting non-standard base-pairing at the 3rd anti-codon position.
Source: RNAcentral